AACGAACGCUGGCGGCAUGCCUAACACAUGCAAGCCGAACGAGACCUUCGGGUCUAGUGGCGCACGGGUGCGUAACGCGUGGGAACCUGCCCUUAGGUUCGGAAUAACUCCCCGAAAGGGGUGCUAAUACCGGAUAAUGUCUUCGGACCAAAGAUUUAUCGCCUUUGGAUGGGCCCGCGUUGGAUUAGCUAGUUGGUAGGGUAAAAGCCUACCAAGGCGACGAUCCAUAGCUGGUCUGAGAGGAUGAUCAGCCACACUGGGACUGAGACACGGCCCAGACUCCUACGGGAAGCAGCAGUGGGGAAUAUUGGACAAUGGGCGAAAGCCUGAUCCAGCAAUGCCGCGUGAGUGAUGAAGGCCUUAGGGUUGUAAAGCUCUUUUACCCGGGAUGAUAAUGACAGUACCGGGAGAAUAAGCUCCGGCUAACUCCGUG
RNAcentral lists this ribosomal RNA (433 nucleotides) under uncultured bacterium. RNAcentral's name for it is "partial 16S ribosomal RNA". It matches the Rfam family "Bacterial small subunit ribosomal RNA", at positions 29 to 507 of the family's 1533-position model. The record is from RNAcentral.